This is a long non-coding RNA of Pistacia vera, 642 nucleotides long. RefSeq lists it as uncharacterized. The transcript is spliced from 3 exons. Lineage: Eukaryota; Viridiplantae; Streptophyta; Magnoliopsida; Sapindales; Anacardiaceae. The record is from RefSeq and is a predicted model, not a curated record.
CUGUGUAGCAGAAGUUCUCCUUGCUCUGUAAUACCUCCAUAUACUUGGGAUUGUUUACUGGAACCUUAAGCCAGAAAAUGUUCUUGUAAGGGAAGAUGGACAUAUAAUGCUCUUUGACUUUGGUCUUUCCCUUCGUUGUGCUGUCAGCCUAACAGUAGUGAAGUCGUCAACACUCAGGUCUGAAACCCUGAAAAAGAAUCCGGUUUAUUGCAUUCGACAUGCCUGCAUCAAGCCCUCAUGUAUCCAACCGUCAUGUAUUGUCCCUACAACUUGUUUUCUCCUCGAUCCUUUUGAAAAUCCAAGAAAGUUCAGAAACCAAAGAAUGAAACCGGGAACCAAGUUACCCCACUGCCAGAACUUAUCGCUGAGCCAACCAACGCUCCAUGUCGUUUGUAGGAACUCACGAGUACCUGGCGCCUGAAACUAUCGAAGGUGAAGGGCAUGGAAACGCUGUUGAUUGGUGGAGUUUUGGGAUCUUUCUGUAUGAGCUAUUAUUUGGUAGCUUUUCUUCUAAUAAAUCAUAGAACUGAAUUAGGAUGUGGAAGGCAAUGAUGCACUAUGGUUUGCGCAACAAAGUCUCUGCUUGAAGAAUGAAUUUUUGGUGUUUCUGCUAUUCCUUUGUUAAUUUUCCAAGAGGUGCUG